Molecule: non-coding RNA, 96 nt
Organism: Acanthosepion pharaonis
Lineage: Eukaryota; Metazoa; Mollusca; Cephalopoda; Sepiida; Sepiidae
Source: the annotation of a GenBank genome assembly
AUUUGAAACACCAGUUCGCGUACAAUCACGUAAGUUAAGCAACGUUGAGCCAGGUCAGUGCCUAGAUGGGUGACCGCUUGGGAAUCACCAGAUGUU